RNAcentral lists this long non-coding RNA (865 nucleotides) under Rhipicephalus microplus (southern cattle tick). RNAcentral's name for it is "uncharacterized LOC119161199, transcript variant X1". Lineage: Eukaryota; Metazoa; Arthropoda; Arachnida; Ixodida; Ixodidae. The record is from RNAcentral.
UUCGACCGCCUGGGGUUCUUUAACGUGCACCCAAAUCUGAGCACACGGGCCUACAACAUGGGGCACCGCCCCCACCAUGCGGGAAAGCGCGCCUCCUGCUCGUGGGCCGGAAAUCCUGGGGACGGACUCGGAUCGAGCCAUGAGUGGGAGACUGCGUGAGUCCUGGCUGCCCUAAUAAGGAUCACUGCAUCAAUGCCCUUGUGCUUCCGGGACAGCGGGUGCGACCUGGUCUUCCAACGGGACAUUGGCGACAACCCACCGGCUCGGUCAACGCAAGCAAUGCCGCACCUUACUUGCUGCCUUCAACCCCUGAUCGUUUCUCAACUGGAAUCCAAGUGCAACGUUCUGUGCAGCUGCAUCGGAGGGACUAUAAAUACUGCCUACGCCCUACAAGAACUUGAAGCACGCCACCGCACUUAUGCUGGUCACGAAAAUGCCCUUCUUCCUCGUGCAGAGCGUCAGCCUCUGACUCCAGAGCGCUCCUGACCGCUCCAACUUCGAAGUGAGAGCUUGGCGUGAUCUGACGGGGAGAAUGGAUCACGUGACACAAUCCAGCCAAUCACGUGGCUACCGGCAGGUGAACGAGGCUCCCUCCCAAGUAGUGACCAAGCCCAGUGCUGCUUAGCUUCGGUGAUCGGACGAGAACUGGCGCAUUCAACACUGUAUGGCAGAUGGCAUUUUUUUUUUCAAGGCUACUUUCUUGCUUUUCUACUAACCUUACAACAUUACAUUCUGGCUGCAUACGGAUAAAGAAAGACUGCCUUAAAAAUCAAAGGUAUGUAAUUAAAUUGUGUUAGUUAAACAAUAAUGUCGAAGCUAAAUAUUGUUAUUUAUUGAAUAAAUAAUUAUAUUUAAUUGAUUUUUU